RNAcentral lists this long non-coding RNA (1350 nucleotides) under Piliocolobus tephrosceles (Ugandan red Colobus). Its description in RNAcentral is "lncRNA (ENSPTEG00000014056.1)". Lineage: Eukaryota; Metazoa; Chordata; Mammalia; Primates; Cercopithecidae. The record is from RNAcentral.
UAUAUAUAUAACAGCUUACUUCUAUCAAGAACUGCGAUUCUUUUUUUAUUACCUUUUCCUCAUUUUCAUAAAAAAAAAAAAAAUAAACAAAAAACUUGGUGGCAUACAGUAGUAACUGUAUACAUUUUUAAAAAAAAAAAAAAAAAAAAAAAAAAAAAACCUAUGUGCAUUCAUUUUUAUGUUUACAGUUUCGAGGCAAAGUAUCAAAAAGAAUUGUCUAUUAUUCAUCUUUAAUUGCACAAUGUAAUAAUAGCAUAUCUUCUCAUGAAAAUUCAGAUGAAAGUGUUGAUGAAGAUGUUAAGGAAAAACUUCAAUACCAUAUAAAAACUCUUGGGAACUAUAAAAGAGAACUAAGUAAAUGGUGGAUGGAACAUAAAAAGAAUUAUUAUCGUUUAUGUGUACAUAAUAUUUUAGAUAAAAAAAAAAGGUAAACAAAAGAGCUUUUUUUUUUUUUUUUUUUUAGUUUAAAACAAUUUUCUAGUUUUUAAUCAUGCGAUAGUAUAUAUUAUAUAUAUUUGUGUGUGUUCAACAUAAAUGCACAUAUGAUCACCCUUAUGUUGGCGCUUUACUUUAUUCAUCCCUUUUCUUUAGUGAGAGUCAUGGUAGUAUAAAAACAAGUGACACAGAUGUAAAUGACUUACAUUUAAAAGACACGAAAAAUAUGAUGAUAAAUGAAAUUAACAGAAUGAAAAAUGCAAAAUCACAAUUAUUAGAAUCUUCUCACAUAUUAGAAAAACAAGACAAAGUAUUUACUAUGUUCGAGUCAAAGUUAAAAUCAAGCGCACAACUUAUAUUAUCUAUAAGGAAAAAGUACUAUUAUAAGAAAAAAAAAAUAAAUAAAUAAAAAAAGGGUUAUAUAUUUUAUUCAUUAACCAUUUUACAUUAUGACGAUUCGUGUUCCCAUGUUGUCACCUCUGAUAAAUAUAUAUAUAAUUCUCUUAUAUAUUUGGUAUUUACACUUUUCUUAAUUUUUAGAGCAGAAAAAGACUCGAAAUAUGUUUGGUACUCGUUUUUUUUCUUUAUAAGCGUCUGUUGUUAUAUAAUAUUACGUAGAUUGGGUUUCAUAAGAGCUAUCAUAACUGUAAAACACAAAAAUGUUUCAAAUAUGCACAUAUAUAUAACCACACUUAUAAAUGAACAAUAUGAAACAAAGCUUGAUGCCUAUUAUUCCUCAAUUAUAUAACCCUUUUCUGUAAUCGUUGUUAAUCUUUUUAAUUUUAAUUUAAUUUUUUUUUUUUUUUUUUUUUCAGCUUAUUAAACUUUUAUUUUUCGCCAUAUUCUAUUUAUUAAAAUUUUGCGUCCGAGUGUUUUAUUUAUUUAAAAUAAAAAAUGAAAAAAAUGAUUUUAGCA